GUUUGUCUAAUUGCUGUGGCUAGGACUUCCAAAACUAUGUUGAAGAGCAGUGGUGAGAGUGGGCAUCCCUGUCUUGUUCCAGAUUUGAGUGAGAAGGCUUUCAGUUUUUCCCCAUUGAGUAUUAUAUUUGCUGUGGGUUUAUCCUAAAUGGCUUUGAUUAUAUUCAGGAAUGUUCCCUCUAUACCCACUUUGGCGAUGGUCUUGAUCAUGAAUGGAUGUACAACUCCUUUUUAAAUAGGAGUUCCCAUUGUGGCUCAGUGGUUAAUGAAUCUGACUAGGAACCAUGAGGUUGCAGAUUCAGUCCCUGGUCUUGCUCAAUGGGUUGAGGAUCUGGCCUUGCUGUGAGCUGUGGUGUAGGUUGCAGAUGCAGCUUGGAUCCUGCGUUGCUGGGGCUGUGGUGUAGGCCGACAGCUACAGCUCCGAUUAGAGCCCUAGCUUGGGAACCUCCAUGUGUCGUGAGUGCAGCCCUAGAAAAGACAAAAAAAACAAAAAGAAAGGAGGAUGAAUAAAUAACACAAGUGAAGGCAUAGCAAUAGAGCCUUGGAAAUGCUAAAAUCACAUAUGGUAAGAAAUUAUCUCUUUUUCAAAAAUGUGCCUAUUCAUUUUUUAUUGGAAUAUGUUUGACUAUAACAUUGUAUAAAUUUAAGAUGUACCCUUAUUAAUUUGGUGCAUUUAUGUAUAAUAAUAUGGUUACUAUAAAGUGAAAAUUCUGACAUGAAAAAUCAAAUGAUUAGAAAUGGAACUAAAGAAGCUGUUAUGUCACAGGAAGUGUUAUAGCUUUAAAACAAUAGUUGACAAUAAUUUUCUGGAGUACCAGAGUGAUUGCCUAAGUCACACCAAAUUGAGCAAUGAACAAUUAAACUGUAAAACUUCAGGGAAACAGCAAGUAGAUUGUUUUCUCUAGAACAUCUGUCACAGAGGAUGAAAGGUUCUGUGGUGAAAUGAAAUUUCCAAGGUGCAUGAGGCCAUUAAAUUAGAACAGAGAGCUAGGAAGUGAGAGGCAUCCUGGCCUGAAGGUACUCUCUUCCAAUCAGAAGUCGGGGCAGGGUUUUGGGGGGAGGGGUUGUGGAGGCAGAGAGAAAGAAAAGGGAGGGAAAGAAAAGAAUUCUGACUAUAUCAUUUGUAGAAGCUAUUCUUGGGUUAUAUAUCUACAAUCAUUUAUACAUCUGGGCAGUGUCUUGAAUGUGUAAUUCCAGCAUGUGUCAGAAUUAGGGAAAAAUACAGAUAUAUUUGCAGAUAUACAUCUUAUGAAGACAUUGUGCAAGUAGUUGUAUAUGAAAACUCAGAAAGUCUGCAUUUGUUUAUUAGUAGCUGCAAAGAGUACCAGUGAAGCAUGGCACAGGAGCCAUAGCAAGGCAGAAGGACCAAGAUGAAGAUGAAAGAUCUGGACCUUGACUCAAAAACAUUUCCUUCUAUUGUUCCUGUCUAGGGGUUUUAUAACUGUCAUUAUAGCGAUGUAUUACUUUUAUUAUUAAUUAUUCAAACUUAUAUAUGUGAUUAGGUUUAAGGUAACAUGGUGAGUAGACUCUAUUGUAUUCCCUUUUUGUCUUUAUAAAGUUUGUCAUAAAAUAAGCCCUUCAGGAAUUAUUGAGGGGAAGUAGCAGAAUUGGUCUUGACAGAUGUUUAUCACCAACCCAUUGCUCAGUGUGAGUGCCAGUUUCAGAAUAAGCUGGACUUUAUUUGACAGAGUUGUACCUCCAUGUAAAGACACAUUUUGAACAAAAAGAUAAACCCUAAAAUUUCUUUUCUUUGUUCUGAGUUAUUGGCAGCCAUUUUGUGGGAAAUACAGUUUUUUUAGUAUUUAAAAGUAUUAGAUACUCAAGCACUAAAUGAAAUUAGUUUUGUUUAAAAGGUAAACAGCAAUGAUUCAAAUUACUGGAGCCUAGGACCAAGUAAGAAUGAUUUGUGUUACAGCUACAAAAGAGCUCAUUGUUUAAAAGGUACAUGGAGUUGUUGGAUGUAACUAUAGAAUGCAGUGGUAACAGUAACUAAAGCAAGAGCUUAAUUCACAUCAUGAAGAUCAUAUCCUCCAAAUGAAUAGACUUUGAAAAAUGAAUGCAGGAGAAAACACAUAAAUAAUAGCUAAGUCCUACUUUUGUCUCAUUACCCAUUAAGUAUAGCUGUGGGAGGGAAAACAUUUUUGUGACCAUCCUGUACCUUGUGUUACUGGUGCCUUUGGGUCCACUGAUGGAGACAGAUGACUAGCUGGUAUAAUAACGUCACGGUCCUGCACUGAUCUGAGCAGUGAGGUAAUUCACAGGAUAUUAUAUUGCUGCACAGUUUGUGAAUUAUACACAUUGUAAAACCUCUAGAAGGCUAGGCAUUCUUCUUCCUAGGGAAAAUAUCUGAUUGUCAAACAUAAUCUCCAAGGUAGCUAGUAUAUAAUUAUUCCUUUGGUUUAGGAUAUCCUUUAGGACAGAGAUUGUAUUUUUAUUCAUCAUUGUAGCCCCAUGUUUUGUUUAGUGCCUGGCAUGUUGUGGAAACUCAGUACUUUUGUGUGGAGUAAAGGAAAUAACAUAGUGAAAAUUCUCUGGACUUAGGUGGGUUUGGGAUGGAAAUGCUGUAAAAUAAAAUUAGUUUUUGAUGAUGGUACAAUUAUAAUAAAUUCAUUGAGUUUUUUUGAAAAAAGAAAAUAUAGAUGAAGAAACUAAAUUUCAGAGAAGUCAAGUCAGUUGACUUAGUUCUAACAAGGGUAACUGGGAAAUGGCAGAGAUAGAAUUCAAAUGCAACCAUCCAUUAAUUUUUUUUUUCAAUACUCUGCUGACUUGUGAGUUAGGGAUAAGAUGAUUAAAAGGCAUAAACAAAGUUUAUGUAUGCCUUUUCCCUCACAGAGGUGAUUUGUUCUUGGAGGUGCCUUAAAGGUCACUAUAGAUGGUGAGACUAAGGGCGGUACUGAGCAGUGAAAGCAAUUAAACUGUACUGUCAGCAGUCCUGCAAACAAGCUUAGUUCCAGGAAUACACUAUUGAAGGGAAAAGUAAAAACAUGGUGAUUUGUUACUGCUGCUACUUCUCUUACUGUUGUUAGGUGAGGUUAGGGCAGUAUAGUUGUAUUUACACAAUUGUGAUAUUUUUAUUUCCUUUAUUAUUUUUAAAUUGUUGAAUCAUCUACUUAUUCUUUCAAGUUUUACCCUCAUUAUUUCAUUUUUGUAAUUUAAAUCAGAACCAGAUUUAGAAAAUUUUUGAAUUCAAGUGAAACUUGAGUAGACAACCCUGGUUAAAUAGAUUCUUUGUGUGUGUGUCUUAGAAAAAUGUGACAAAUAAGAGAUAAAUAAGAGCCUUUCCUGAGAGUUUAAUUUGAGAAAGUAAUUACCUUGUUUUGUCUUGAGGUCAGAGUAGAGUCAGGCCAAUAUGCUGUUAUCUUUAAUAUCUUAUAUCAAACGGGAACUGGUGUCCAUAACAAUGACCCUGAGCCAAGGUGUUGUACUCAGACAUAAGAGAAAUAUGGAUUUAUGUUUUCCAUGCUUCCUGUUUAGUAAGGCAAAAAGCUGCAUUAAGAUCAGGAAGAGAGAUGUUCAGUCACAAUGAGUGAAAGAUAAUGAGUUGUUGCUUAGCUAGAAAAACCGCUUGAUCAAAGGAACAUUUUUCACAAGCAUUCUUAUUUAAUUUUACUCUGUGUGCACAUAAGAAGUGUAUGCCUAUGUUUUCACAAUCAAGGAUGUUUCAAGUCUAAUUAUGAUAUGCUGAAUUUUUCUGUAAAUCUAAAUAACCAUAAAAUUAAAGAGUUUCCGUUCAUUCUUCUCAGGUCUUGGGGAUACCAACUGUGGGGGAUGACAGAGGAGGUAGAGAUAAAAGAGAAGCAAUAUGCCUACCCUCUUCACUUGUUAUCACAAGGAAAGGAGAAAUGACCAUCUGCUGUAUGCUCAGCACUGUUAGGCUUUUUAUAUUUAUGAAGGUUUUGUAUUUUAUGCAUAUGUUAGCUCAUUCAGUCCUCACAAAAACCUGAUUAGGUAAGUGUUAUUUACAUUUUACCAAGUUCCAGCCCUCCUGAAGCUUAUAUUCUAGUGAGGGUUGACAGAGAUACACAAAAAAGCAUGUAAAUAUUAUAAUAAAAUGUCUAGUGACAGUAAGAACUAUGAGGAAAAAAUAAAACAAGGCCUGCAGGUAGAGGAUGAGGGGAAGGCAUUAUUUUAGCCAGAGGGAAAGCUUCUCUAAUACUCUUAGGCAGAUGUCAAGAUGAAUUGAGGAAACAAGCCGUGGAGAUAGACCCUGGAAAAGAACGUUCCAGGCAGAGAGAACAGCACAGAGGAAUGCCUGAUAUGUUAGACUAAAGACACUGGAGCAGAACGAGCCAGGAGAAGGGAAAGAGAUAAAGAUUUGAACCCAGGUCUGUCUGACUCCAAACCUAUAUCCACAAUGUUCCUUUCACUCCAUGAAUUGGGAAGGUGUGUUAACAACUAAAAAGUGACACAGGAAUUUUUUUUCCCAAGAAACAAAAAUACUAAAAACAUUUUUUUGGUAAUCUUUAAUGACUUGGAAUAAUGUCUACAAUAUAGUC
RNAcentral lists this long non-coding RNA (4495 nucleotides) under Sus scrofa (pig). RNAcentral describes it as "lncRNA (ENSSSCG00015025908.1)". The record is from RNAcentral. Lineage: Eukaryota; Metazoa; Chordata; Mammalia; Artiodactyla; Suidae.